RNAcentral lists this ribosomal RNA (484 nucleotides) under uncultured bacterium. RNAcentral describes it as "partial 16S ribosomal RNA". It matches the Rfam family "Bacterial small subunit ribosomal RNA", at positions 30 to 507 of the family's 1533-position model. The record is from RNAcentral.
AUUGAACGCUGGCGGCAGGCCUAACACAUGCAAGUCGAGCGGACGAAGGGAGCUUGCUCCUGGAUUCAGCGGCGGACGGGUGAGUAAUGCCUAGGAAUCUGCCUGGUAGUGGGGGAUAACGGCCGGAAACGGGCGCUAAUACCGCAUACGUCCUGAGGGAGAAAGUGGGGGAUCUUCGGACCUCACGCUAUCAGAUGAGCCUAGGUCGGAUUAGCUAGUUGGUGGGGUAAAGGCCUACCAAGGCGACGAUCCGUAACUGGUCUGAGAGGAUGAUCAGUCACACUGGAACUGAGACACGGUCCAGACUCCUACGGGAGGCAGCAGUGGGGAAUAUUGGACAAUGGGCGAAAGCCUGAUCCAGCCAUGCCGCGUGUGUGAAGAAGGUCUUCGGAUUGUAAAGCACUUUAAGUUGGGAGGAAGGGCAGUAAGUUAAUACCUUGCUGUUUUGACGUUACCAACAGAAUAAGCACCGGCUAACUUCGUG